Molecule: long non-coding RNA, 2596 nt
Organism: Acanthopagrus latus (yellowfin seabream)
Lineage: Eukaryota; Metazoa; Chordata; Actinopteri; Spariformes; Sparidae
Exons: 2
Source: RefSeq, a predicted model, not a curated record
CCUGACAGGAGUUAAACAAAGGAUUAUAAAGCUAAAAAAUGUAUCGGGAAAUCUUGUGAAUGCUGACUUUAAUAUAUGAGCAUGACGCUUACUUGUUAUCUGUUUUGUGGUUAUAAGCCGGUGUGCCUAAUAUCUCAGUAAUGCGUCCUAAUCUUACAGCUAAUUAUCGCUUCUUUUUUUUUUUCUUAGCAAAUUAAACGACACACAGCACCCCUCUAAGCCCAGAAUGAACUUUUCCAAGAGGGGGUGAAAGAAAAACAAAAAACAACCAACAAAAAAAAGCUUUUGUGGAGAAAGUAAUUUUGUAUGUUUCUUUCGUCCAAUCCCCUCUCUUGAUAGAAAUCCGUGCCUUACCCCAGAGUAGUCAAUUAUCAAAGCUCCCCAAGAUCAUCAAUCAUGUGAGGAGAUUGAAGUUUAGAGGAGGAGCAACGCUCCGGCCAUCGAUUGCAGUGAAGCCCUUUUUGGAGUCCGGAGCACUUUCUUUUCUUUUCUUUUCUUUUUUUUUACGCACUAAAAACAGAAGCAGGCCGUCUAUCCCCUUUAAUAUUUAGCUCCAUCAAUGCUAAUAUGGCAUCAUUUGGCUGUAUUGACAAGGGCUCUCACGUAAAGGCUCCAUUUAUGGCUCCGUGACAUUUUUUUUUUUUUUUUUUUUGAUGGUGGAAAUUAAUUAUUCACAGGUUUAGGAUUAAGGUAGACACACGCGCUCUCGGGGAGACGGGGCUGUGGCUACCGUUGGAGGGGUCAAUAAACUCUCCCAACAAACAAAAUAGACCAGGCAGAGUUGCUCAGGGGUCGAUUACAGUAAAUGGCAGGAGAUUGUGGGUUUUUGUUGUUUUUUUUUGUAAAGAAAGAUUUAAUAAAUGAAAGCGUGACAACAGUUAUGUUUGUUGGCAUAAAGGGGGGGUGGGAAGUGUAGGACUGCAGGGUUUGACAAACGGCUGUGUGGACAUUUCAACGUGCAAUACCCCGGGAAGGAGCUGCAGAGCGGUGCGCAGAGAGCCAAGGCAGCCACCGUCUCCAAGUCUCUCUCUCUCUCUCUCUCGCUCUCUCGACUUCUUUCUCUCUUUGCACUCUGUAAACACAACCAGCCCGGCAGACUCUGCUAUUGAAGACUGAUAUUUUCAUAAGCUAAAUACUAUCGUUCACAUUGAUUUGUGCUCUAACGCUUGACUUUUUUUUUUUUCUUUUUUUGGUUAAUCUCCUCCAUCCUCCUCCUCCUCCUCCUCCUUUGGACAACUACGGAGAGAAUAUGCGGCCGUGGAGCGACACCUGGCGGCCGCCGAGCUGCCGAAGAGCUCUGCAACAAAUGAGAGAAGGCCCCUGAAAAAAAAUUAAAUUAAUAAAUCCAAAAAAAAAAAAAUGAUUCAGAGAUUCGGUAAAUUUACACGAAAUCGACGCGAGAAAGUCGUGAAUUCGAGUUAAAAUUUAAAAAGCACAGAGAUCAAAUUAUUAUUUCCUGACGACGGACGUCAUUUUGAAAAUAUCAAAAUGUUGAUUUUCUUGUUUUUUUUCUCCACGAGUUUGUCUGAGUCGUUUCGUGUGAUAUUGGAUUUGUUCGUAGGCAGAUCUCUGACCUUUAAUUCGGCUGAACUUGUCUCACGGUUUGGACUUUGUGUCGCGCAAAUUAGCAAAAUUAAAAAUAGAAGAAAAAUGUGGCCUUCACUGCCUUUGGUUUUUCUUUUAAUUGCGUGUGCAAGAAUUAUUUCUAAAUUUGCGAAUUCGGGUGAUUUUCUUCAAUUUAAUUUUGGAUCAAAUUCGGCCUUCGUGUAAAUCCAAAUCAGAUCGAUUAAAUAAUAAUAAUAAUAAUAAUAAUAAGUAACUAACACGCAGUUUUAAUAUCCAAUCACUGAUAUUCGUAUUAACAUUUUAAUACUCACACAGCUCGGGUGAUUCUUUUUAUUAUCUGAUACUAAACGCGUUAUUGCAUGUUUGAUAUCAUGAUACCAAAUUAAAAUAAAAGAGCUGAACAGAAGCUCAGGAUAAACAUGGAAAAAGGAAUAAAAUAAACAUAUAUUCUGUUCUCUAAAAACUGCGCGUAAAAGUCCUGAACGCCACCAAAACUGAGUGUUAAUAUUGGAAAAUAACUUUCACAGAAAUUAAUUCGUUUCACGCGUUUUCCCUCCCUGUCCUUUCCCUCCAGCCUGUGAAGACGCAGAGCUCUCCUCUGGAGCUGUCUGCAGCCUCGCCUCCGCUCGGCGGUGACACACUUUGAGCGGGUCACCGCCGAGAUUAGAGCCCGUCGUUAACGCCUGUGCGGACACACCAAAUGCUGAUUUAAUGAGCUUGCAUCGGGUGUUUGUCCCAGAAUACCUGGUGCGCAAUGUGUCCAGCGCCGCGCACUGUAAUCCCCGUGUUUCCCCACCACCUCCACCUCCACCCUGCUAAACACGUGGCUUAGGGGACAGUUCUCAUUAGGACCUUGCGGGUUUCACAUGCGGGAGAUCUGUGUACGAUUUUCUCCCCACCUUUUUUUUUCCCUCUCUCCUUUUAAACUCCGAGUUUUUUAGAUUGAAACAGGUCGAAGCCCUAUAAGGCCCGUAUCCAGCCACAUUACCGCAUGUAAUUGAGAGAAGUUUAAGUGGAGGCCGGGAAAGAA